AGUAAAUUUGUUUGAUAAUUAAGUAGAUUUGUUUGAGAUUUAAAUAGAUAAAUAAUAGUAGUAUGGUAUAUAAGGUAUAGAUUGUUUUUUUAUUUGUAAAAUAAAGAUAUUAAUGUUUAUAUUAGGGAUAUAGUGAGGUUUAAAUGAAAUAUCGUGUGUAGUAUAUAGUAAGAGUAUAUAUGGUAUGUAAGAGUAAUAAUGGUACGUAUUAUUAUUAAUAGAAA
This 224-nucleotide unclassified non-coding RNA is filed under the name Hevea brasiliensis (rubber tree). The record is from RNAcentral. Lineage: Eukaryota; Viridiplantae; Streptophyta; Magnoliopsida; Malpighiales; Euphorbiaceae.